UAAAAUUUUAAUAUGACACUGAAGAAAGUGAGAGGGAAAACUGAAACAGGAAGAACAAUCCUGUUGAAUCCCCCAAAUUCCAAACUUGAUCCUGAAACCCUAACUAGUCCACAACUGUGUGUAUAAUUGUGAAUUAUGGAUGCCAAAGAUAUCCUGGGAUUGCCAAAAAACUCAUUCCCCUCUCUUGAGAAGAAGUCUCGACCUCCCAAAGAGUCUCAACGAAAACCUGAUGGCAUUUCGCGCGAGGUGUAUGCGCUUACAGGUGGAUUGGCCCCUCUUAUGCCUUCUAUUGAAGCUUCUCAAUUGAAGAAAAAGCCUCCUCCUCUCGAAAAGAUCACUUGGCAGUGGCUUCCUUUCACCAGCUCUGCUCGUAAAGAUAAUCUUCAACUUUACCACUGGGUUCGAGUUGUCAAUGGUGUUCCUCCUACGGGUGACUAUUCUUUUGCCAAGUAUAAUAAGGCAGUUGAUGUGAUCAAAUACACAGAUGAGGAGUAUGACAAGUAUUUGACAAAUCCUAUGUGGACCAAAGAGGAGACCGAUCAACUAUUUGAUCUAUGUGAGAGAUUUGAUCUUCGAUUUGUUGUAAUAGCUGAUAGGUUUCCAUCAUCUCGGACUGUAGAGGAAUUAAAGGAUAGAUAUUAUAGUGUUUCGCGGGCUAUAUUGGUUGCUAGAGCUCCAUCUUCUGGUGAUGUUGCAGCACAUCCUCUUGUUAAGGAACUGUAUAAUGUUUCACAAGAAAUGGAGCGAAAGCGUGCACUGUCCAUGGUCCUCUCUCAAACAAGGCAACAAGAACGCAGAGAUGAAGAGGUUCUUGUUGAAGCAAAAAGAAUAGCUGAAUCUCGCAUUCCACCCAAGGUUGCUGAAGAGUCUCACUUGGCUGCUUCUAAUGCUGGUGCAGAAGCUACAGAGAGAGCUGUCCCUGGUGAAACUGUAUCUCCAUCGAAUGUGCAACUUCCAUCAAUGGUUGUGCCUCCUACAUUAUCAGAUAACGCAUCUACUCUAGCUUCUCUUCGCAUGCUACGUGUAUAUUUGAGAACAUAUGCACUUGAACAAAUGGUGCAAGCCGCAAACUCAUCUGCUGGACUUCGGACUAUCAAACGGGUUGAGCAAACCUUGCAAGACCUUGGGGUCAAUUUGAAACCAAGAGUUCCAACAAAAGCUGUUUGUGCGGAGCACCUUGAAUUAAGAAAAGAAAUACUAACUUGGCUUAAUCUCCAGAAACAGGUUCAAUAUAAAGAGGCCGAAGGUUCCUCUUUUCGUGAUGGGUCAUAUGGUGAAACACCUGGCACACCUAAGCAUUUACAUCGUGCUGGGGAUCAGGAUCGGACAUUCAUUCCAGAUGCAAUGAAUUUUGGAGUGGAAAGGGUUGGCAAAAAGGACCAAAAGCGUAAGGCACCUGGAGCUCCAUCGGCUCAUAAAAGACCUAGAAAACUGAAGGCCACAGAUCUCUAGUUCCUCUGGUGAGAGCUUAUAUUUUUCAGAGAUGAUUCAACACUGGUAGUUUGGUGGCAACCAAGAAAAAGGGUGUUUCAAUUCCAAGAAUAUUUUUAAUCAAAAUUAUGAAUGUGGAAACUGGCUUUGGACUCAACACCUGGAAAUUCUGAUUAUGGUAUAUUGAGUCCAAGUGCAGUUCUGUUUACUUCGGUCUGCAAUUUUAGACUAAUGCCACUCCUGUUCUUCAAUUUAAAGAGAAACUUGAGAUCCCUGGGAUGAAUGAGAUCUCUCAUCUUUAGCAUGUCCUGAGAAGCUGGACUUAUUUCUCACGCUGAUAAUGCUUUGUAGGGAUACCAGGUACAAAAAUGGCUUCUUAUUUGGAUAUGCAUGUAUAUAAGCUUAGAAACGGGAAUUCCGGAUGUCUUUGAAGGCUUAUGAAUGCUGAAAUUGGGAGCAAUUGGAAAUACUACAUUGCUUCGUGUAUGUUUCUAACCGUUUGCACCAUUGCACACCCACUGAAAAAAAUGUUGUGAUAUUUCAAGCUAUAUGAAAAUAAUUUAAUUCACAUUUGCAGUUGUCUUCGAAAAUUCAUGGAAUAUGACAGGAACUUAGAGGCCAAGAGUAGCCAAUUGACGAACUUUUCUCCUUCCCUCGUUUGGGAUUAUUUUCUUUGUUCUAUAUGCUUGACUCCUUUUCUCCCAGACAACUCUUUUAUCGAAGCUGCCAAAAUAUGAAAAGGAACACAAUGAGGAGAACAGAAGUGAAUUAAGACGAGCGAUAAUUAAAUUUAGUGGAUGAUAAUACACAAACAAAUGAAUAAGUGAUUGCUUCGUAAUUGACGGGUAUUAUUCUGUUAAGCAAAAUACUUUAUUCCAUAGUGUUUGUUGCAAGCCUGUUUGGUGGGUUAACAACUUAAACACUGUAAUAGUGUUUCGUUUGCUUUCUUCAUUGAGUUUGGUUUGAUUUGGAUCC
Molecule: RNA transcript, 2406 nt
Organism: Vigna radiata var. radiata (mung bean)
Lineage: Eukaryota; Viridiplantae; Streptophyta; Magnoliopsida; Fabales; Fabaceae
Gene name: SWR1-complex protein 4
Exons: 17
Source: RefSeq, a predicted model, not a curated record